CUGCUGCUGCCUUCUUCAGCCACUGUCUAGCACUCCCCAAAGCCUGAAGCAACCUCCUCCAAGACAGUGCUUGAGAUCAGUGUGUCCAAAUAGAUGGCUGGCAAGGCUUUGAGACAGAGGAGCUGAAAGUCUGAGUUCUUGGUGAAUGAAAGAUGUUUACUGAGCACCACCUAUGUGCCAAGCACCCGACCAAAUCAGACACUGCCUUUGCCUUUGUUAUAAUACGAAGAAGAAAGUGAUUCUUCUCUGCUGAAUGAGUUAACAUUCUGUGGGAAUCCAGAAGCUACAGUGUUUUGCUUCGAAUGAAGAAAUCAAGAAAUGCUUCACAAGAAAGUGAUAGCUGAUCUGAGCCCUGGUGGUCUAGCUUGACUUGCUCAGAGGGGCCGCUGGCAAAGGCCUCGUGCCCCGCACUUCAGACCACAGCUCCUAGUACGGAAGGGUGCGCCGCCGACACCUCCGGGCCGUGUGCGGAAGCUGCGCUCCACACUCAAUUCAAGAUGGCGGGGCUUCAGUAGUUAAGAAUAGCGCAGUAGUUAACAAUCUACCGGCCAAUGCAGGUGGCGCAGUAGUUAAGAGUCCGCCUGCCAAUGCAGGGGACCUGGGUUCUGAGCCCUGGUCGGGGAAGAUCCCACAUUCCG
This is a non-coding RNA of Delphinapterus leucas (beluga whale), 638 nucleotides long. The record is from RefSeq and is a predicted model, not a curated record. Lineage: Eukaryota; Metazoa; Chordata; Mammalia; Artiodactyla; Monodontidae.